AUGAAAAGCUGGAUUUGCGCGGAUCAAUUAAAGAAGUUGAUCCGUUUGAACAGUACAGUGCGCAAACCAGUAAAAUCAGUUGUAAAUCUGAGUUUAAAGUUCAAUAAAUGAAGAAAGUGAGUAGAAGAAGAAAUAUGAAGAAAUUGAUGCAAUUCAGCUCUGAAUCUGAUGAAAUUUCUUAAAUUCUUGUAUCUCUAAUCCAAGCAAUCGAUCUCCCGCUCUGAUACCACUUUACUUGUGGAUUCUUUUUUGAAUCGAAUUCGUAGCACCGAUGACUGCGAAUAUCUCGUAUCACGUGCGGAAUCCGUGUACGAGAGUGGAUCAGACACAAUAACGUAAUUAAAUGUUGAUUCUAUUGAUUAUGUAACAGUUAAAAGCACCUUGAAUCAAGCAGCCUUGAGUUCCCUCUCAAAUGGCAAAAAGUUCUCAAAUGUUAAGACAUGUCUUCUAUUUAUAGAGUGAUGUCCAUCCUCUCAAACUAGCAUGUCCAUUCGUGAGGAUGGACUCCAUUUCGUUAGGAUGGACUCCAAACUACAAAUGGACAUUAUGUUUAACAUGAAAACACUUCUAAACCUAGUCUUGAACAUUUUUCGGCUACGAUACGUGAUUGACGGAAGCGAGACAUACUGCACUCACAGUUUCUAUUUCACAUAAAAAGUUGCCGCAAAAUGACAAAAAAUGGAAAAGCGAAGAAAAAUCAAGAAAAAAAGUCAAGUUGCAGCUUAAGACACGAGUCAUGCCUACAUGAAGCGCGCCGUGAUUGAUCCUCAAGUCAUGAAAAAGUAGUGAUCUUCUCAAGACAAGAGAAAAUGGUGCCCCCCUUAGCAAACUAAAAGUCAACAAUACAGCUAGAAAAGCCCAACACUACGUAGAAGCAUAUCUCGUUCUAGGAAAUGAGUUACGGGGACUAUAACAUAUGCAUCUUGAUUGUUUAACUGAGAGGAAGCUAAAAAAUAGUUUUCAUGUUCAAAUUCAUGAGACACGGGCCGUACCUCCGGUAGAAAACGACAAAAACGCGUUUUUGGCCUGAAACACCCGAGACACGACCCAUGCCUCACAAACGCAGGUUGUGCCUAGAAAAAGACGCCAUAAAUAUUCCCAGAAAAUUUU
This 1110-nucleotide long non-coding RNA is filed under the name Helianthus annuus (common sunflower). Lineage: Eukaryota; Viridiplantae; Streptophyta; Magnoliopsida; Asterales; Asteraceae. The record is from RNAcentral.